Molecule: non-coding RNA, 83 nt
Organism: Caenorhabditis elegans
Lineage: Eukaryota; Metazoa; Nematoda; Chromadorea; Rhabditida; Rhabditidae
Source: Ensembl
UUAUAAUUGGCCGCCCCAAUGAAUUCGCGCAAUUUUCAAGGUAAAAGUUGUCGAAGCGAACAUCAAAUGGUUUGAAAUAUGUG